Molecule: ribosomal RNA, 450 nt
Filed under: uncultured bacterium
Lineage: Bacteria
Description: partial 16S ribosomal RNA
Rfam family: Bacterial small subunit ribosomal RNA
Source: RNAcentral
GUGGGGAAUCUUCCGCAAUGGACGAAAGUCUGACGGAGCGACGCCGCGUGAGUGAAGAAGGCCUUCGGGUCGUAAAGCUCUGUCAUCAGGGACGAACGGCCGGUGGAGUGGAAAGCCAUCGGAUUGACGGUACCUGAGAAGGAAGCCACGGCUAACUACGUGCCAGCAGCCGCGGUAAUACGUAGGUGGCAAGCGUUGUCCGGAAUUAUUGGGCGUAAAGCGCGCGCAGGUGGGAUCUUAAGUCCAUUUUUAAAGUUCGGAGCUCAACUCCGUGAUGGGAUGGAAACUGGGAUUCUUGAGUGUCGGAGAGGAAAGUGGAAUUCCAAGUGUAGCGGUGAAAUGCGUAGAGAUUUGGAAGAACACCAGUGGCGAAGGCGACUUUCUGGACGAUGUCUGACGCUGAGGCGCGAAAGCUAGGGGAGCGAACGGGAUUAGAUACCCCAGUAGUCC